RNAcentral lists this ribosomal RNA (465 nucleotides) under Vreelandella stevensii. RNAcentral describes it as "partial 16S ribosomal RNA". It matches the Rfam family "Bacterial small subunit ribosomal RNA", at positions 338 to 795 of the family's 1533-position model. The record is from RNAcentral. Lineage: Bacteria; Pseudomonadati; Pseudomonadota; Gammaproteobacteria; Oceanospirillales; Halomonadaceae.
CCUACGGGAGGCUGCAGUGGGGAAUAUUGGACAAUGGGGGGAACCCUGAGCCAGCCAUGCCGCGUGUGUGAAGAAGGCCCUCGGGUUGUAAAGCACUUUCAGUGAGGAAGAACGCCUGGUGGUUAAUACCCAUCAGGAAAGACAUCACUCACAGAAGAAGCACCGGCUAACUCCGUGCCAGCAGCCGCGGUAAUACGGAGGGUGCGAGCGUUAAUCGGAAUUACUGGGCGUAAAGCGCGCGUAGGUGGCUUGAUAAGCCGGUUGUGAAAGCCCCGGGCUCAACCUGGGAACGGCAUCCGGAACUGUCAAGCUAGAGUGCAGGAGAGGAAGGUAGAAUUCCCGGUGUAGCGGUGAAAUGCGUAGAGAUCGGGAGGAAUACCAGUGGCGAAGGCGGCCUUCUGGACUGACACUGACACUGAGGUGCGAAAGCGUGGGUAGCAAACAGGAUUAGAUACCCCGGUAGUC